RNAcentral lists this long non-coding RNA (226 nucleotides) under Elaeis guineensis (African oil palm). RNAcentral describes it as "long non-coding RNA (EGUI_LNC039051)". The record is from RNAcentral. Lineage: Eukaryota; Viridiplantae; Streptophyta; Magnoliopsida; Arecales; Arecaceae.
ACUCAUAACCCAUCUAUUUAAGAGAUCCCAUGCCUCUCUUAUGUUUUAACAUAAGAAAACCCAUAUCCAUUAUAAAGAGCCACGUUCUUCUCUCUUCCAUGAAGAAAAAAGGGGUGUCCCUCCCUCUCAUGUGUCACCCAAAAGAAAAAAAGAGGAGGAGGCAUCCCAGGGUUUGACGCCCCAUAACUCCAUGCAUGAAGCCCCUCUUCUCUCCCCUCUUUGGAAG